AUUGAACGCUGGCGGCAGGCUUAACACAUGCAAGUCGAGCGGGGUGAUGGUGCUUGCACUAUCACUUAGCGGCGGACGGGUGAGUAAUGCUUAGGAAUCUGCCUAUUAGUGGGGGACAACAUCUCGAAAGGGAUGCUAAUACCGCAUACGUCCUACGGGAGAAAGCAGGGGAUCACUUGUGACCUUGCGCUAAUAGAUGAGCCUAAGUCGGAUUAGCUAGUUGGUGGGGUAAAGGCCUACCAAGGCGACGAUCUGUAGCGGGUCUGAGCAGAGGAUCCGGCACAAUGGGCCCGGGAAACGGGCCAGACUGCUACGGGGGGCGGCAGUGGGGAAAAUUGGACAAUGGGGGGAUCCCUGAUCCAGACAUGCCGCGGGUGUGAAGAAGGCCUUAUGGUUGUAAAGCACUUUAAGCGAGGAGGAGGCUCUUUUGGUUAAUACCCAAGAUGAGUGGACGUUACUCGCAGAAUAAGCACCGGCUAACUCUGUGCCAGCCGCCGCAGUAA
This 503-nucleotide ribosomal RNA is filed under the name uncultured bacterium. Its description in RNAcentral is "partial 16S ribosomal RNA". It matches the Rfam family "Bacterial small subunit ribosomal RNA", at positions 30 to 523 of the family's 1533-position model. The record is from RNAcentral.